UGUUAUUAUGUAGAAUAAACUGUCUACAUUGCUUUAGAUGAAUGAAAGUAAUGUAAAUAAAUAAAUCUACAUUAAGUAAACAUAAGUUAUCUAUUUCAUUUGACCAUUAGUGUUGUUGAUAAAUUAAGUGAGUGAACACAUCAGCAUCUAUCUCAACAUGUAAAUGCAGUAUAUCACAGAUAAAUGACAGAGACUGACUCUUGUCUGGAUGUUACAGGGACAGAUGAGACACACGUGUGUUUAUCUGAUGAAGAGAGACUGAUGAAGAAAUGCUGCCAUCAAAGAUUCUCAAUGAAUCUUUUGUGGUGGAGCAGGUGACAGCAGCAUCUGUGGAAAAAACCUGAAAGAAAAAUAUAAAGAUCUGAAAUGUCUGCAGACUGCUGUGUGCACUGAGGAUGGAGAAGAUGGAGUGCCAUGGGUGAAAUGCUCCAUCACUGCAUCUCCUCUUGUUUUCUCAUCAGGACCAGAUGCUGCUGUGGUCUCUUCAUUCAGUGACCCCAGAGCCUGCGAGAACAUCUAGAGAAAAACCAAAAGACACAAGGAUGUGAUUUUGGUCAAGUUUGUUCUGCUGAUUUCUGUUCAUACAACAUCAGUCAAUAAAACCUGAGUUUCAGAAGUUUCUAAAGUAUCAUCAAAUAAUGUCACAAAGAAUCUGAAAGUCAGGCUCCAUUGACUGAUACUGUAUGAACAUAAACCAGCAGGAGAAACCUGACCAACAUCACCUUUAUGUUCAGGCAAAGGAUUGAACAGAAU
This is a long non-coding RNA of Carassius gibelio (silver crucian carp), 753 nucleotides long. RefSeq lists it as uncharacterized. The record is from RefSeq and is a predicted model, not a curated record. The transcript has 3 exons. Lineage: Eukaryota; Metazoa; Chordata; Actinopteri; Cypriniformes; Cyprinidae.